UACGUAGGCAGCAAGCGUUGUUCGGAAUUACUGGGCGUAAAGAGUGUGUAGGCGGUGUUCUAAGUUUGUCGUGAAAUCUCCCGGCUUAACUGGGAGGGUGCGGCGAAAACUGGAAUGCUAGAGGAUGGGAGAGGUAAGCGGAAUUCCUGGUGUAGCGGUGAAAUGCGUAGAUAUCAGGAGGAACACCUGUGGUGUAGACAGCUUACUGGACCAUUUCUGACGCUGAGACACGAAAGCGUGGGUAGCAAGCAGG
Molecule: ribosomal RNA, 253 nt
Filed under: uncultured bacterium
Lineage: Bacteria
Description: partial 16S ribosomal RNA
Rfam family: Bacterial small subunit ribosomal RNA
Source: RNAcentral